CUUGAACUCCGAGGACCCGGGCCCUAACUGGGAUGAUUUCAGACAGGGCUGGAACAUACUUGGGAAAGAGCCUCGCUGGUUCUCAAGAGGGGAGGAGAAGAAGAGCGUGGAAACCAAAGGGGCUGAAAUUUCAGCUGCUGCCAGGCGUCCUGGAGCUCCAUCACACUCCCAGAAUAGCGCGGCUAGGUUCCCGGCAGCUCAGGCUGCACCGCAGCUGGGCUUCCGGUGAGGGAGACAGAGUCAAACCCCAGGCAGUGCCCGGAACAGCUGGGACUGGACGCCACCCAGAAGCCAGCUGGCUGGCCGUGCCCUGCUGGAGGCACCAUCUCUGGUGCCGGGGACAUCAAGAUGAGAGAGACAGGCUCCUGUUCUGGAGAAGGGCACAGUGUAACCCGGAGACGACCACUGAGAAGUCUGAUUAAGAUACACUAGGAUAAAUGAUGAACAAAUGCAU
RNAcentral lists this long non-coding RNA (454 nucleotides) under Equus caballus (horse). Its description in RNAcentral is "lncRNA (ENSECAG00000058088.1)". The record is from RNAcentral. Lineage: Eukaryota; Metazoa; Chordata; Mammalia; Perissodactyla; Equidae.